GAUUCUGUGGUGUAGUGGUUAUCACGUUUGCUUUACACGCAAAAGGUCUCCAGUUCGAUCCUGGGCAGAAUCA
This 73-nucleotide transfer RNA is filed under the name Arabidopsis thaliana x Arabidopsis arenosa. RNAcentral describes it as "tRNA-Val". It matches the Rfam family "tRNA". From Rfam's summary of the family: Transfer RNA (tRNA) molecules are approximately 80 nucleotides in length. The record is from RNAcentral. Lineage: Eukaryota; Viridiplantae; Streptophyta; Magnoliopsida; Brassicales; Brassicaceae.